This 99-nucleotide ribosomal RNA is filed under the name uncultured bacterium. RNAcentral's name for it is "partial 16S ribosomal RNA". The record is from RNAcentral.
CACACCGCCCGUCANACAUGGGAGUUUGUUGCACCAGAAGCAGGUAGCCUAAACCGCAAGGGGGGGCGCUUGCCACGGUGUGGCCGAUGACUGGGGGUG